AUGAAGCCACGCUUCCUUCAUCACUGAUAUUUGAUGACAUUCCUUUGGAGUCUGACAUUCAUGCCUCCUCUUCCUUACGGAAGAUAUUCAUUGCAUCGCUGUAUAAAGCAACAGAAUUGGAGAGGACAGCAAGCACGAUCAUGGUUACAGCCAAGAUCUUGUCACGCUUGGAUGCGAUUCCAUAAGGAUCCCUAAGUAUAACCAUGGCAGGGAAGAUGAAACCAAUCAGGACAGCAGCAGUUGCACCAGUAAAUUGGAAGACAUCCCAGAUGCUGGGAAUGAAAUUUGCCCCCAAGAAAAGGAGAGUAAUAAGCGAGACUGUGAUCAGCGAAAAUCUCAAGUUGUCUCGGAGCAAUGGUCGAGCAGAUGGAAA
Molecule: unclassified non-coding RNA, 373 nt
Filed under: Hevea brasiliensis (rubber tree)
Lineage: Eukaryota; Viridiplantae; Streptophyta; Magnoliopsida; Malpighiales; Euphorbiaceae
Source: RNAcentral